Molecule: ribosomal RNA, 496 nt
Filed under: uncultured bacterium
Lineage: Bacteria
Description: partial 16S ribosomal RNA
Rfam family: Bacterial small subunit ribosomal RNA
Source: RNAcentral
GAUGAACGCUGGCGGCGUGCCUAAUACAUGCAAGUCGAGCGAACAGACGAGGAGCUUGCUCCUCUGACGUUAGCGGCGGACGGGUGAGUAACACGUGGAUAACCUACCUAUAAGACUGGGAUAACUUCGGGAAACCGGAGCUAAACCGGAUAAUAUAUUGAACCGCAUGGUUCAAUAGUGAAAGACGGUUUUGCUGUCACUUAUAGAUGGAUCCGCGCCGCAUUAGCUAGUUGGUAAGGUAACGGCUUACCAAGGCAACGAUGCGUAGCCGACCUGAGAGGGUGAUCGGCCACACUGGAACUGAGACACGGUCCAGACUCCUACGGGAGGCAGCAGUAGGGAAUCUUCCGCAAUGGGCGAAAGCCUGACGGAGCAACGCCGCGUGAGUGAUGAAGGUCUUCGGAUCGUAAAACUCUGUUAUUAGGGAAGAACAAAUGUGUAAGUAACUAUGCACGUCUUGACGGUACCUAAUCAGAAAGCCACGGCUAACUACGUG